GUAGGUUGGCAAGCGUUGUCCGGAAUUAUUGGGCGUAAAGCGCGCGCAGGUGGUUCUUUAAGUCUGAUGUGAAAGCCCCCGGGCUCAACCGGGGAGGGUCAUUGGAAACUGGGGAACUUGAGUGCAGGAGAGGAAAGUGGAAUUCCACGUGUAGCGGUGAAAUGCGUAGAUAUGUGGAGGAACACCAGUGGCGAAGGCGACUUUCUGGCCUGUAACUGACACUGAGGCGCGAAAGCGUGGGGAGCAAACAGGAUUAGAUACCCUGGUAGUCCACGCCGUAAACGAUGAGUGCUAAGUGUUGGGGGGUUUCCGCCCCUCAGUGCUGCAGCUAACGCAUUAAGCACUCCGCCUGGGGAGUACGGUCGCAAAGACUG
This 374-nucleotide ribosomal RNA is filed under the name uncultured organism. RNAcentral's name for it is "partial 16S ribosomal RNA". It matches the Rfam family "Bacterial small subunit ribosomal RNA", at positions 526 to 896 of the family's 1533-position model. The record is from RNAcentral.